Molecule: long non-coding RNA, 691 nt
Organism: Toxorhynchites rutilus septentrionalis
Lineage: Eukaryota; Metazoa; Arthropoda; Insecta; Diptera; Culicidae
Exons: 3
Source: RefSeq, a predicted model, not a curated record
GUGUAGAAUAAAGGUGUGACCGUGUCGUCAAUAAGUGCGCGAGGGGAAACGAUAUAAACAUACAGAGGACUGUGGAAAGGGAUUUGACUGCAAAGCGGGGGAAAAAUAUUGCUGACAAGUUUGGCUCUGAUGAACAUUCCACGAACGAGAAUAUUUCUGGAUUAUAAAAAUCAUUUAACAUCAAUUAACAUCGAAUAACAUUACAAUUGUUUGUUAUCAAAACAUUUGAAUUGUGCCAAGAAAUAAGGAUAGUUUAUUUGGGCGGAGGAAUCACCUGUGAGGAAUUUCGAGAUGGCUAAUUUCUGUGCCGUUAAGGGCUGCGAAAUAACUCGUUCUCGAUACAAAAAUAAAGCUGAAUGUAUUACCGUGCAUAGAUUUCCCAAAAGAGAGGAUCUGCUCUUGAAAUGGAUCGCUUAUUGUGGACAACAAAAACAGUGGAAACCUCUAGGUAACCAAGGAAUUUGUUCGAAACAUUUCGAUUCCUCUUGCUAUAAAAGGAAUGAAGAGUGCGAAAAUGUCUCAUACUCGGUUGAGCGGCGUCGAAGAAUCAAUGCUGAUGCAUUACCAGGGAAUCCUGAACACUGGACUCAAUAGGGAGAAGUUGAAAAUCAACCCGCCGACAGCGCAAGAAGUAGUAGUGAUGAAAUAGAAAAUGUCGAGAUAUCUUGUGAGUUUUUCUUCUUCAUUUCGU